RNAcentral lists this ribosomal RNA (478 nucleotides) under uncultured bacterium. RNAcentral's name for it is "partial 16S ribosomal RNA". It matches the Rfam family "Bacterial small subunit ribosomal RNA", at positions 28 to 523 of the family's 1533-position model. The record is from RNAcentral.
GACGAACGCUGGCGGCGUGCUUAACACAUGCAAGUCGAACGGUAAGGCCCUUCGGGGUACACGAGUGGCGAACGGGUGAGUAACACGUGGGUGAUCUGCCCUGCACUUCGGGAUAAGCCUGGGAAACUGGGUCUAAUACCGGAUAGGACCACUGCCUGCAUGGGUGGUGGUGGAAAGCUUUUGCGGUGUGGGAUGGGACCGCGGCCGAUCAGCUUGUUGGUGGGGUGGUGGCCUACCAAGGCGACGACGGGUAGCCGGCCUGAGAGGGUGACCGGCCACACUGGGACUGAGAUACGGCCCAGACUCCUACGGGAGGCAGCAGUGGGGAAUAUUGCACAAUGGGCGCAAGCCUGAUGCAGCGACGCCGCGUGAGGGAUGACGGCCUUCGGGUUGUAAACCUCUUUCAGCACCGACGAAGCGCAAGUGACGGUAGGUGCAGAAGAAGGACCGGCCAACUACGUGCCAGCCGCCGCAGUAA